GUAGAAAUCAAAGAAUAUAAUACUCAAAUUAUUGACGAGAAAAUUGACAGACUUUGAUAGGUUAUAUAUAAGUUACUCUAUGUUUGAUAGAAUGGAAGAUGGGUGUAAGUAGAACGUAGUGAUUAUAUGCUCUUUGGGUGUAAGAGCACAAACCUUUUUAAUGUGACAGACUUCACUUCACGCCUCGCACCUCGUCCCUCAACUUCGAAUCUAUUUGGCUGCAAAUUACAUUAUCAAUAUCAUAGAUACAGACGACAUAGAAGCAUCAUAGAAGUCAUCGAAAUCAAAGAGCACAUAAUCACUACGUUCUAUAAAUAAUAUGAUCGAAAUAUGACAAUUUGACAGGAGGGUAGAGGUACCUUUACCCUGCAUUACCCCUCUCCAUACGCAAUAGGGAAUAUUACGCGAAACUCUGCGUAGGGGGCCCCACUACCACAAUCUGAGGGUCUACCGCGAAACAAGAAAAUCGAAAUUUCGUUUUCUAAUCUAACCUCUCUAUCACUCUUGUGAAUACGAGCGAUGAAGAGGCAGAUAAGUAAAUUUCGAUUUUCGCGUUUCCUGGUAGACCCUUUGUAAACAAUCCACAAACAAACUCCCUUGAUGCACCAAUGUCAUAUUUUAUUAUCUAUGAAAACUUGUCAAAAAACCGUUUAACCCUGGAACGCCGAACCGACAAACAUACUUGUACCCGUCAAAUGCCUAGUGCCGGAUUCGUCCCAUCCCCCUCAGACGCCUGAUAGGCUCGCGUACGUGCACCCGUUGACUGCCGCGACUUAUAUUGCAUUGAAAUUUUGAUUGAAAUGCAAGUAAUAUAAAAUCUAUUUGUACCGAGACAUAAACGAUGGCACCAUGGCCUCUUACAUAGAGUGACAGAGAAAAAGUAAAUAAUGUCAAACGAUCUUGAUUUUCAUGCGGAUUAAUAUGGGACUCAUGGAUAACUCAUGGCAUUUAAUCAACACAAAGGUCAGAAAUGAGAGUUAAAGUCUGACGCCCGCACUCGACGAUUGAAAAGCCUCUAACAAAAUGAUAAAGUGAUGUGACGUCACAUUAUAUAAGUCUGUCCUAAAUGUAUGGAACAUCAAGGAAAUUUCCAUUUUGACCCUGAAAUAUUCAGUUUGUGUAUAGUUGUCAUACAAUUUAUUUUUCAAUAAAAUGUGUGAAAUCGAAUGGUACUAUUUUUUCCCAUUUUUGAAAGACAAUAAAAUAAAAUAAAAUUGAGACUUUGGA
Molecule: long non-coding RNA, 1227 nt
Organism: Cydia pomonella (codling moth)
Lineage: Eukaryota; Metazoa; Arthropoda; Insecta; Lepidoptera; Tortricidae
Exons: 2
Source: RefSeq, a predicted model, not a curated record